GUAGGUGGCAAGCGUUGUCCGGAAUUAUUGGGCGUAAAGCGCGCGCAGGUGGUUCUUUAAGUCUGAUGUGAAAGCCCCCGGCUCAACCGGGAGGGUCAUUGGAAACUGGGGAACUUGAGUGCAGGAGAGGAAAGUGGAAUUCCACGUGUAGCGGUGAAAUGCGUAGAUAUGUGGAGGGACACCAGUGGCGAAGGCGACUUUCUGGCCUGUAACUGACACUGAGGCGCGAAAGCGUGGGGAGCAAACAGGAUUAGAUACCCUGGUAGUCCACGCCGUAAACGAUGAGUGCUAAGUGUUGGGGGGUUUCCGCCCCUCAGUGCUGCAGCUAACGCGUUAAGCACUCCGCCUGGGGGGUACGGUCGCAAGACUG
This 370-nucleotide ribosomal RNA is filed under the name uncultured organism. RNAcentral describes it as "partial 16S ribosomal RNA". It matches the Rfam family "Bacterial small subunit ribosomal RNA", at positions 527 to 896 of the family's 1533-position model. The record is from RNAcentral.